RNAcentral lists this long non-coding RNA (361 nucleotides) under Homo sapiens (human). RNAcentral describes it as "non-protein coding lnc-PLGLB1-2:1". Lineage: Eukaryota; Metazoa; Chordata; Mammalia; Primates; Hominidae. The record is from RNAcentral.
AUGUCGUUCCCAAAGUAUACUCCUUCACCCCUGGCCACUAUGCCCUCAAACCAGCCGAAUAGGACAUGUCUUCGGAAACCCAGCAGGCGCAAGCCAAGUGGUUGACCAUUAAGAGCCUGGCUGAAACCUGCUUACCCUAACUGCCGAGGGCUCAUCGAAAAUCCUGCCUUGAUUCCUUGGACCUAUGCAAGAUCAGCAAGUGUCUUUCCUAAUUUCAGACCCACUCCUAAAAACUCACUCUUGGGAGCUCUGUGUGGAAUUGGGCCCCUCUUCUUCUGGUAUUAUGUUUUCAAAACUGACAGGGAUAGGAAAGAAAAACUUAUCUGGGAAGGAAAAUUGGGUCCAACAUUUAACCUGUCAU